GUCUUCCAUUGGAAGGAUCUAGACUUGGCUAGAGAAAUGCUGCCAUACGUGCGCCAAAUCAUGGCCUGCGUAUCGCCCAGUCAUCGCCCGUAUGGCAUAACCUCUUAGAAAAUGGCGGGGCGUGACAAACUCCCCCACCUAUUGCGUCGACAUCCUCGUCGACUCUUCGUGGAAUGCCCGGAUCUGAUCUUCAAAUUGCCAAAGCGCCUCCUUUGGCUCCCAGCUUGCCUCGCUUUCC
This 238-nucleotide long non-coding RNA is filed under the name Nicotiana benthamiana. RNAcentral describes it as "long non-coding RNA (NBEN_LNC001060)". The record is from RNAcentral. Lineage: Eukaryota; Viridiplantae; Streptophyta; Magnoliopsida; Solanales; Solanaceae.